Molecule: non-coding RNA, 116 nt
Organism: Curvularia clavata
Lineage: Eukaryota; Fungi; Ascomycota; Dothideomycetes; Pleosporales; Pleosporaceae
Source: the annotation of a GenBank genome assembly
GCAUCGGUGGUUUAGUGGUAAAAUUAGCCGUUGCCAUUCAUCUGUUCAAUUGAUACAAUUCAAUGGACAGCUUGAGCUGUUUCGGCUAGCCCCGGGUUCGAUUCCCGGCCGAUGCA